GAUGAACGCUGGCGGCGUGCCUAAUACAUGCAAGUCGAGCGAAUGGAUUAAGAGCUUGCUCUUAUGAAGUUAGCGGCGGACGGGUGAGUAACACGUGGGUAACCUGCCCAUAAGACUGGGAUAACUCCGGGAAACCGGGGCUAAUACCGGAUAACAUUUUGAACCGCAUGGUUCGAAAUUGAAAGGCGGUUUCGGCUGUCACUUAUGGAUGGACCCGCGUCGCAUUAGCUAGUUGGUGAGGUAACGGCUCACCAAGGCAACGAUGCGUAGCCGACCUGGGAGGGUGAUCGGCCACACUGGGACUGAGACACGGCCCAGACUCCUACGGGAGGCAGCAGUAGGGAAUCUUCCGCAAUGGACGAAAGUCUGACGGAGCAACGCCGCGUGAGUGAUGAAGGCUUUCGGGUCGUAAAACUCUGUUGUUAGGGAAGAACAAGUGCUAGUUGAAUAAGCUGGCACCUUGACGGUACCAAACCAGAAAGCCACGGCUAACUACGUGCCAGCCGCCGCCGUAA
RNAcentral lists this ribosomal RNA (515 nucleotides) under uncultured bacterium. RNAcentral describes it as "partial 16S ribosomal RNA". It matches the Rfam family "Bacterial small subunit ribosomal RNA", at positions 28 to 523 of the family's 1533-position model. The record is from RNAcentral.